Molecule: ribosomal RNA, 526 nt
Filed under: Enterobacter cloacae
Lineage: Bacteria; Pseudomonadati; Pseudomonadota; Gammaproteobacteria; Enterobacterales; Enterobacteriaceae
Description: bacterial SSU rRNA
Rfam family: Bacterial small subunit ribosomal RNA
Source: RNAcentral
UGGAGAGUUUGAUCCUGGCUCAGAUUGAACGCUGGCGGCAGGCCUAACACAUGCAAGUCGAGCGGUAACACAGGGAGCUUGCUCYYGGGUGACGAGCGGCGGACGGGUGAGUAAUGUCUGGGAAACUGCCUGAUGGAGGGGGAUAACUACUGGAAACGGUAGCUAAUACCGCAUAAYGUCGCAAGACCAAAGAGGGGGACCUUCGGGCCUCUUGCCAUCAGAUGUGCCCAGAUGGGAUUAGCUAGUAGGUGGGGUAACGGCUCACCUAGGCGACGAUCCCUAGCUGGUCUGAGAGGAUGACCAGCCACACUGGAACUGAGACACGGUCCAGACUCCUACGGGAGGCAGCAGUGGGGAAUAUUGCACAAUGGGCGCAAGCCUGAUGCAGCCAUGCCGCGUGUAUGAAGAAGGCCUUCGGGUUGUAAAGUACUUUCAGCGGGGAGGAAGGUGUUGAGGUUAAUAACCUCAGCAAUUGACGUUACCCGCAGAAGAAGCACCGGCUAACUCCGUGCCAGCAGCCGCGGUA